GUUUAGCAGUUCUCAAGCUUAAAGCCUUCAGUGGCCAUCACAGCAAAGAAUACUUCAAUCAAGUGCUAUAGUGUGCUAAUGCAUCUUAAUAAUAAUAAUGAAAGAGACUCCUUUAAUAUGGGUAGAGGUCUUCAUUUGUUAUUCAUUUAACAGCUUAAAUCCACGGUAAAAAGGAACACGAUUUUCUCUGAUUGUCAGCCCACUUCAGUAAGUGUGGAGUGGUACCUUUAUGUGGGCUUCUUCUGAAUUGCCUUUCAGAAAGCAUGGUGCUCACAAUUCCUUUUGGAACCACAGCAUCUUUCUUUUAAUGCACAUCACAACUGCUGUCAACUGAAAAAAGAAAUGCAGGAGCUGAAAGUUGAGGAUUGUGUUUUACUUGAUGGACAAAACUGAAGAUGUAAAGCUCAGGACACAGCAUCUCAGACAGCUCUGAAGACUGCUCCAAAGAAGUAAUG
Non-coding RNA from Odocoileus virginianus texanus, 455 nucleotides. Lineage: Eukaryota; Metazoa; Chordata; Mammalia; Artiodactyla; Cervidae. The record is from RefSeq and is a predicted model, not a curated record.